RNAcentral lists this unclassified non-coding RNA (244 nucleotides) under Nigrospora sp. RNAcentral's name for it is "partial contains 5.8S ribosomal RNA, internal transcribed spacer 2, and large subunit ribosomal RNA". The record is from RNAcentral. Lineage: Eukaryota; Fungi; Ascomycota; Sordariomycetes; Amphisphaeriales; Apiosporaceae.
CGCACAUUGCGCCCAUUAGUAUUCUAGUGGGCAUGCCUGUUCGAGCGUCAUUUCAACCCCUAAGCACAGCUUAUUGUUGGGCGUCUACGUCUGUAGUGCCUCAAAGACAUUGGCGGAGCGGCAGCAGUCCUCUGAGCGUAGUAAUUCUUUAUCUCGCUUCUGUUAGGCGCUGCCCCCCCGGCCGUAAAACCCCCAAUUUUUUCUGGUUGACCUCGGAUCAGGUAGGAAUACCCGCUGAACUUAA